Aegilops tauschii subsp. strangulata is the source of this 1311-nucleotide long non-coding RNA. RefSeq lists it as uncharacterized. The record is from RefSeq and is a predicted model, not a curated record. Lineage: Eukaryota; Viridiplantae; Streptophyta; Magnoliopsida; Poales; Poaceae.
AUUUCCCCACGAACAAGCGCCGCCAAAAGCCACCGCCCACCCAGGAAUUUUUCUCGUCAGAUUCAAUCGACACUACGACUGCGGCGAUCAGGGCCGGCAGAUUGGGGGUGGCCGCCCCGCCGUCCGAGCUCGGAUCCACCAACAUCAACCAUCCCCGUGAGCACUCCGCUAUAUUCCCCCCUGAUUUCAGCGACCGGCGACGGCGGAUUGGACGAGGCCGCCCGACCGGCCGAGCACGGAUCCACCGCAUCAACCGGCGACAGUGGAUUGGAGGCCGCCCCACCCGGCUCUCUUUCCCGAACGAUUGCAGCGAUCGGCGGCGGCUCACGCUCCAGUUACUAAAAUCAUGCCACCAGUUCUGGAGAGUGAUAUGCAUAGCAGUGAAUAUCUUGCAGAACAGAAACGCAAGGGUGAGGCGUAUUUGAAGGAAAGGGAUGCAAGGAUUGCGGAACGCAAGGCUGUAGAGAGGGAGUAUCUUAAAGACAUAAAAAGCUUAGCUCGUAGCCUUGUAUACCCUAGUGCCUCUAAUGUGCAACCGACACAAAAUGCAUGAGCUGCUGAUGAUCGCAGCGACUCAGAGUAUGAACCAGAUGCUGAAGAGGAGGCCCAUGGAGAGGAAGAGGAUUUGAGAGAUGAAGAAGAGGAGCAAGACCGGUAGCAUGAGCGAGCCAACACUUCUAACUCAUAAUGCAAUGGAAAAGAAAAGGAAAACACAAUCAGAAGGUGAGCAACCAGUAUCCGAUACAGCGAUUGUGGCUGAAGUUCUAUAGGAAGAAAGCACCCAUAGCACCUUCCUUUCCAGCAUGGGGUAUGCAUCAAGAUCCGGGAGGUCUGGGAGCUCUACUUCAUCAGCCCAGAUCAAAGUUUUAGAAGAAAGAAUUGAACAGAAGGAUAGAGAGGCAAGAGAUGCAAAUGACAGGCAUCGAGAGGAGUUAGCCGCAAGACUUGAAGCACAAGAGAGAGCAUUUGAAGAGAUACAAAAGAAGCAGCAAGAAGAAUUGGAAGCUCUAAAGAAGAUCCAGGAAGAGAAGAAUGAAGCCUGGACAAAGAAGCAAAAGAAGACGGAUAAUCUGCUUGAUUUUCUCUUGAGGGCUCAAGCAACUCAGCAAGCAACUCAGUAGUCCCAGUCCAAACCAGAUGGUUCAUGAAUGCCAUCCUUACAUUGGAAUCAUCAGGAUAACAUAUGUGUCUUUAGUUAAUAUUAGUUUUCAUCUUGUCUAUUAUAUGUGUCAAACUUGAGUCAGUUUUUUACUGUCACUUUUUUUACAGAAUGAUUUGGCUGAGACGAUUUCAUAUAUAAUAUUAUUUGAC